AUGCCAUUCAUCAGCAAACACUAUUUGCAAACAAAUAUCCUGUUUUCCUCGGUUUACAAAGACAACUCAGUGUCGAGGGAACUGAAGACUGGGGUGUGCUGGACUAACACAAAUUUAACUGAAGCCAAGAAUGCCCUGGUUUGGCUCUGGAAAGAGUAAUAAGCAGCCAAGGACAUUUGGAAGGCCAAAUCUAAACCACUCAAGACACUGCCCUUUCCAGACAAAAGGAGUGUAUUUAUGGCUUCUGCAGUUCAUCAUCUACAAUCAAACAAGAAAUUAUAUACCAUUCUUGGCAAAAAAAAAGCCAAUAUACAGUGACAUAGUUCUUCCUCAAUUAAAAAGUUACAGCUUUGUGUUUUCUUGAGAAAAUACAAAUAUUUCUGAAAUCACAGCAUAUGUAGCGUUUAUUGUUUUUCUUGGACAGUAAGUUAUAAAGAAGUAGCUUAUGAAUCAGUAGCUAGAAGUUUUACUUCCUGGUUUCUAUUAAAUCUUAUGCUAUUUGCUCCUGAUUUAGGGCCCAGGAAAAGCAAUUAUAACUUGCAUGCACCAACUUGCUGAGUUACUGAGCCAGUUUAUCUUUGCUUGUCUAAACAAAGGACUGUAAAGCAUAAAAAAGUGAUUUAAAGAAUUUUUGCACUGAGUUGUCACUUUGAACUCUUAUAACCACAGAAAAUUGUACCAUAUCUCAAAUUUAAAACAAAGUAAACCAAAAACCUCACCACAAUUUUCUUUUUCUGUGAAAUUUUCUGUCAUAAGAAGAUAUGUUCAGAAAGGUCUAAUAUUGAUAUGACAUUUUCUCUAAGAGUGUUCUGCAAAAACACCUAAGAAGUUUCCUGAAACUGGCACAAGAUUUUGUUUUAGCUGCCUAAGUUAGAUUACAGCAAGUCAAACACUCUGUAUAUUUCAGAAAAAUAUGCUGAUGGGUGAACCUAUCAAGAAAGGAUUUACCUAAAUGCUGUUCUCUCAAGAUGAUAGUAGUAAAUGAGUCCUUUGUAGGAAGGCUAUUUCAAAAGCCAAAAGUUGUUACACUACAUAUAUAAUGAUAAUGAGCUGUUAGAAAACUUCCUGCUCACUAUGAACUUUGAAUAAACAGUUAAAUCCUAAGUUAGCUCUUCA
RNAcentral lists this long non-coding RNA (1116 nucleotides) under Cyanistes caeruleus (blue tit). RNAcentral describes it as "lncRNA (ENSCCEG00000012005.1)". Lineage: Eukaryota; Metazoa; Chordata; Aves; Passeriformes; Paridae. The record is from RNAcentral.